Small nucleolar RNA from Dromiciops gliroides (monito del monte), 136 nucleotides. RefSeq annotates it as small nucleolar RNA SNORA70. NCBI's taxonomy places the organism in Eukaryota, Metazoa, Chordata, Mammalia, Microbiotheria, Microbiotheriidae. The record is from RefSeq and is a predicted model, not a curated record. The transcript has a single exon.
UUACAAGUCAACAAAUUAGACCAACCCAAUUAUCCCAGUGUCUGGCUGGUGUGUAAUGGCUACAGACAGCAUUUCCCUGGCUGUAUGUGUACCAUGUACAUCAUAUAGGGUAUUCUAAAGGAUGUCAAAGACAUGU